This 439-nucleotide ribosomal RNA is filed under the name uncultured bacterium. RNAcentral's name for it is "partial 16S ribosomal RNA". It matches the Rfam family "Bacterial small subunit ribosomal RNA", at positions 339 to 795 of the family's 1533-position model. The record is from RNAcentral.
CUACGGGGGGCUCCAGUGAGGAAUAUUGCACAAUGGGGGGAACCCUGACGCAGCAACGCCGCGUGGAGGAUGACGCAUUUCGGUGUGUAAACUCCUUUUAUAUGUCAAGAAAAUGACGGUAGCAUAUGAAUAAGCACCGGCUAACUCCGUGCCAGCAGCCGCGGUAAUACGGAGGGUGCAAGCGUUACUCGGAAUCACUGGGCGUAAAGGACGCGUAGGCGGGUUGGAAAGUCAGGUGUGAAAUCCUACAGCUUAACUGUAGAACUGCACUUGAAACUUCUAAUCUAGAGUAUGGGAGGGGGAGAUGGAAUUAGUGGUGUAAGGGUAAGAUCCGUAGAUAUCACUAGGAAUACCUAAAGCGAAGGCGAUCUCCUGGAACAUUACUGACGCUAAGGCGUGAAAGCGUGGGGAGCAAACAGGAUUAGAUACCCCGGUAGUC